RNAcentral lists this transfer RNA (90 nucleotides) under Erysipelothrix anatis. RNAcentral's name for it is "tRNA-Ser(cga)". It matches the Rfam family "tRNA". Rfam says of the family: Transfer RNA (tRNA) molecules are approximately 80 nucleotides in length. Their secondary structure includes four short double-helical elements and three loops (D, anti-codon, and T loops). Further hydrogen bonds mediate the characteristic L-shaped molecular structure. tRNAs have two regions of fundamental functional importance: the anti-codon, which is responsible for specific mRNA codon recognition, and the 3' end, to which the tRNAs corresponding amino acid is attached (by aminoacyl-tRNA synthetases). tRNAs cope with the degeneracy of the genetic code in two manners: having more than one tRNA (with a specific anti-codon) for a particular amino acid; and 'wobble' base-pairing, i.e. permitting non-standard base-pairing at the 3rd anti-codon position. Lineage: Bacteria; Bacillati; Bacillota; Erysipelotrichia; Erysipelotrichales; Erysipelotrichaceae. The record is from RNAcentral. RNAcentral also lists the same sequence under 2 other names.
GGAGAAAUACCCAAGAGGCUGAAGGGGUCGGUCUCGAAAACCGAUAGGAGUUCAUAGCUCGCGAGGGUUCAAAUCCCUCUUUCUCCGCCA